AACGAACGCUGGCGGCAGGCCUAACACAUGCAAGUCGAACGAGAUCUUCGGAUCUAGUGGCGGACGGGUGAGUAACGCGUGGGAAUGUGCCCUUCUCUAAGGAAUAGCCACUGGAAACGGUGAGUAAUACCUUAUACGCCCUUCGGGGGAAAGAUUUAUCGGAGAAGGAUCAGCCCGCGUUAGAUUAGGUAGUUGGUGGGAACGGCCUACCAAGCCUACGAUCUAUAGCUGGUUUGAGAGGAUGAUCAGCAACACUGGGACUGAGACACGGCCCAGACUCCUACGGGAGGCAGCAGUAGGAAUCUUGGACAAUGGGGCAACCCUGAUCCAGCCAUGCCGCGUGAGUGAUGAAGG
This 354-nucleotide ribosomal RNA is filed under the name uncultured bacterium. RNAcentral describes it as "bacterial SSU rRNA". It matches the Rfam family "Bacterial small subunit ribosomal RNA", at positions 29 to 414 of the family's 1533-position model. The record is from RNAcentral.